This 497-nucleotide ribosomal RNA is filed under the name uncultured bacterium. Its description in RNAcentral is "partial 16S ribosomal RNA". It matches the Rfam family "Bacterial small subunit ribosomal RNA", at positions 28 to 507 of the family's 1533-position model. The record is from RNAcentral.
GAUGAACGCUGGCGGCGUGCCUAAUACAUGCAAGUCGAGCGAACAGAUAAGGAGCUUGCUCCUUUGACGUUAGCGGCGGACGGGUGGGUAACACGUGGGUAACCUACCUAUAAGACUGGAAUAACUCCGGGAAACCGGGGCUAAUGCCGGAUAACAUUUAGAACCGCAUGGUUCUAAAGUGAAAGAUGGUUUUGCUAUCACUUAUAGAUGGACCCGCGCCGUAUUAGCUAGUUGGUAAGGUAACGGCUUACCAAGGCAACGAUCCGUAGCCGACCUGAGAGGGUGAUCGGCCACACUGGAACUGAGACACGGUCCAGACUCCUACGGGAGGCAGCAGUAGGGAAUCUUCCGCAAUGGGCGAAAGCCUGACGGAGCAACGCCGCGUGAGUGAUGAAGGUCUUCGGAUCGUAAAACUCUGUUAUUAGGGAAGAACAAAUGUGUAAGUAACUGUGCACGUCUUGACGGUACCUAAUCAGAAAGCCACGGCUAACUACGUG